AAGCUUUUCAUCUUUUUCUUCCUUUUGGUUCUGACUGACACCUGACAGCAUUACAUUACAUGUGUUGGCACAUAUAGCCACCAUUUGGUGGAAACACAAGAGGGAAAUGGAGGAGAGGAGGAGAGAUGGUAUGAGCAAAGCCCCCUGUUCCGCCCGCCACGUCAGUUCCUUGUUCAACUGUUACGAAACACAAGAGGGAAAUGGAGGAGAGGAGGAGAGAUGGUAUGAGCAAAGCCCCCUGUUCCGCCCGCCACGUCAGUUCCUUGUUCAACUGUUACAUGGUCUGACAGUGUCCGUCUUCGUGAAUGGAUCGAUGACAGGCGGGCUUAAUACGGCUCAUGCCACUGUUGGGACGAACUUACAUCUUUACAGGAAAGCAAACGGACCAACAUCACGCACGCUCUUUACUCUGCACACGCAUUUGGUGUAACUGUACAAAAAACAAUUCCUGUAGGUAUGGACGUUGGGCAGCUGCUAAUCUUCGUUUUUCU
RNAcentral lists this long non-coding RNA (491 nucleotides) under Triticum aestivum (bread wheat). RNAcentral's name for it is "long non-coding RNA (TAES_LNC013615)". Lineage: Eukaryota; Viridiplantae; Streptophyta; Magnoliopsida; Poales; Poaceae. The record is from RNAcentral.